Molecule: ribosomal RNA, 172 nt
Filed under: uncultured bacterium
Lineage: Bacteria
Description: partial 16S ribosomal RNA
Rfam family: Bacterial small subunit ribosomal RNA
Source: RNAcentral
CCUACGGGAGGCAGCAGUGGGGAAUCUUCCGCAAUGGGCGAAAGCCUGACGGAGCAACGCCGCGUGAGUGAAGAAGGCCUUCGGGUUGUAAAGCUCUGUCUUAUGGGAAGAAGCAAGUGACGGUACCAUAAGAGGAAGCCACGGCUAACUACGUGCCAGCAGCCGCGGUAAU